This 480-nucleotide ribosomal RNA is filed under the name Thermotogales bacterium enrichment culture clone TAR6.8.A.RT. Its description in RNAcentral is "bacterial SSU rRNA". It matches the Rfam family "Bacterial small subunit ribosomal RNA", at positions 325 to 795 of the family's 1533-position model. The record is from RNAcentral. Lineage: Bacteria; Thermotogati; Thermotogota; Thermotogae; Thermotogales.
UACGGGUCCUACUCCUACGGGAGGCAGCAGUGCGGAAUUUUAGAUAAUGGAGGGAACUCUGAUCUAGCGACGCCGCGUGCAGGAAGAAGGUCUUCGGAUUGUAAACUGCUGUGGUAAGGGAAAAAUGCUAUGUAGAGUGGAAAGCUACAUAGAGGGAUGGUACCUUACUAGAAAGCCCCGGCUAACUACGUGCCAGCAGCCGCGGUAAUACGUAGGGGGCGAGCGUUACCCGGAAUCACUGGGCGUAAAGGGAGCGUAGGUGGCCUAACAUGUCAACUGUGAAAACCCGGAGCUCAACUCCGGACUUGCAGUUGAAACUGGUAGGCUUGAGGACGGUAGAGGAAGACGGAACUGCCAGUGUAGGGGUAAAAUCCUUAGAUAUUGGCAGGAACGCCGGUGACGAAGGUGGUUUUCUGGGCCGGUUCUGACACUGAUGCUCGAAAGCCAGGGGAGCGAACGGGAUUAGAUACCCCGGUAGUC